CUUAUUGGGCUCCUGUCUGCAGGAUUUACGCGCACGUUGGAACCGAAGAGAGCUCUGUUGUUGCAAUGUUCAGCCCACAAGACCUUACUGGUGAAGGAAUGGGACAAGACCCAUCUUUAUGCAAAGCCAGCGUUACAGUAAUGUCCCAGGUAGGUGUACAUGGUUUAUGCUCUUACAGAGGAGACCUUGUAGAUAACCACUCCAUGAUGAACACAAAAUGACAAGCAUAUGGCUGAACUUUCAAGUGAUGUCAUCUUACUACUGAGAAGUGAGAGAGAGGUCUUAAGGGGUCUUUGAAUGACUAUUUUUAGGUACAUAAAAUGCUUUCCUCUGUUGUCUACAGCAUCUCAUAAUCUAUCCUGGGGAAUUCAGCUGCCUCCCAGGGUGAAUACAGGUAUUCCUGAUGACAGUCUGCCUUCUAUCUUACAGUAAGUUGUUUUUCGAAUUCUGUGGGCCUAUUAUCUAAUAGAUAACUUAGGCAUUUUGAUAUUUGUUACCAAAGCCUGCUUAACCCAUAAAGUUUUCUGGUUCCUCUUGUUCUCUGUAGUGAUGUUUCUAGAC
Molecule: small RNA, 561 nt
Filed under: Pan troglodytes (chimpanzee)
Lineage: Eukaryota; Metazoa; Chordata; Mammalia; Primates; Hominidae
Description: retained intron
Rfam family: Small nucleolar RNA SNORD27 (bases 199-270)
Source: RNAcentral